GAUGAACGCUGGCGGCGUGCCUAACACAUGCAAGUCGAGCGAAGCGCCUUACUUGAUUUCUUCGGGAUGAAAGUAUUGUGACUGAGCGGCGACGGGUGAGUACGCGUGGUAACCUGCCUCAUACAGGGGGAUAACAGUUAGAAAUGACUGCUAAUACCGCAUAAGACCACAGCACCGCAUGGGUGCAGGGGUAAAAACUCCGGUGGUAUGAGAUGGAUCCGCGUCUGAUUAGCUAGUUGGUAAGGUAACGGCUUACCAAGGCAACGAUCAGUAGCCGACCUGAGAGGGUGACCGGCCACAUUGGGACUGAGACACGGCCCAA
RNAcentral lists this ribosomal RNA (322 nucleotides) under uncultured bacterium. RNAcentral's name for it is "bacterial SSU rRNA". It matches the Rfam family "Bacterial small subunit ribosomal RNA", at positions 28 to 334 of the family's 1533-position model. The record is from RNAcentral.